RNAcentral lists this ribosomal RNA (250 nucleotides) under uncultured bacterium. RNAcentral describes it as "partial 16S ribosomal RNA". It matches the Rfam family "Bacterial small subunit ribosomal RNA", at positions 524 to 773 of the family's 1533-position model. The record is from RNAcentral.
UACGGAGGGGGCAAGCGUUAUUCGGAAUUAUUGGGCGUAAAGGGCGCGUAGGCGGUCUUUUAAGUCAGUGGUGAAAUCCCUCGGCUCAACCGAGGAACUGCCUCUGAAACUGAAAGACUUGAGACCGGGAGAGGGUGGUGGAAUUCCCAGUGUAGCGGUGAAAUGCGUAGAUAUUGGGAGGAACACCAGUGGCGAAGGCGACCACCUGGACCGGUUCUGACGCUGAGGCGCGAAAGUGUGGGGAGCAAAC